RNAcentral lists this ribosomal RNA (253 nucleotides) under uncultured bacterium. RNAcentral's name for it is "partial 16S ribosomal RNA". It matches the Rfam family "Bacterial small subunit ribosomal RNA", at positions 524 to 776 of the family's 1533-position model. The record is from RNAcentral.
UACGUAGGGUGCAAGCGUUAAUCGGAAUCACUGGGCGUAAAGGGUGCGUAGGCGGGUUUUUAAGUCAGGGGUGAAAUCCUGGAGCUCAACUCCAGAACUGCCUUUGAUACUGAAGAUCUUGAGUCCGGGAGAGGUGAGUGGAACUGCGAGUGUAGAGGUGAAAUUCGUAGAUAUUCGCAAGAACACCAGUGGCGAAGGCGGCUCACUGGCCCGGUACUGACGCUGAGGCACGAAAGCGUGGGGAGCAAACAGG